Molecule: ribosomal RNA, 253 nt
Filed under: uncultured bacterium
Lineage: Bacteria
Description: partial 16S ribosomal RNA
Rfam family: Bacterial small subunit ribosomal RNA
Source: RNAcentral
AACGUAGGUGGCGAGCGUUAUCCGGAUUUACUGGGCGUAAAGCGUGUGCAGGCGGUGGCUCAAGUGGUGUAUGAAAUCGCCCGGCUUAACCGGGCGGGGUUAGGCCAGACUGGGUCACUGGAGUGCGGGAGAGGGGCGUGGAAUUCCGGGUGUAGUGGUGAAAUGCGUAGAGAUCCGGAGGAACCCCAGAGGCGAAGGCGGCGCCCUGGCCCGACACUGACGCUCAGACACGACAGCAUGGGGAGCGAACGGG